AUUGAACGCUGGCGGCAGGCCUAACACAUGCAAGUCGAGCGGAUGAAGGGAGCUUGCUCCUGGAUUCAGCGGCGGACGGGUGAGUAAUGCCCAGGAAUCUGCCUGGUAGUGGGGGAUAACGUCCGGAAACGGGCGCUAAUACCGCAUACGUCCUGAGGGAGAAAGUGGGGGAUCUUCGGACCCCACGCUAUCAGAUGAGCCUAGGUCGGAUUAGCUAGUUGGUGGGGUAAAGGCCUACCAAGGCGACGAUCCGUAACUGGUCUGAGAGGAUGAUCAGUCACACUGGAACUGAGACACGGUCCAGACUCCUACGGGAGGCAGCAGUGGGGAAUAUUGGACAAUGGGCGAAAGCCUGAUCCAGCCAUGCCGCGUGUGUGAAGAAGGUCUUCGGAUUGUAAAGCACUUUAAGUUGGGAGGAAGGGCAGUAAGUUAAUACCUUGCUGUUUUGACGUUACCAACAGAAUAAGCACCGGCUAACUUCGUG
RNAcentral lists this ribosomal RNA (484 nucleotides) under uncultured bacterium. Its description in RNAcentral is "partial 16S ribosomal RNA". It matches the Rfam family "Bacterial small subunit ribosomal RNA", at positions 30 to 507 of the family's 1533-position model. The record is from RNAcentral.